RNAcentral lists this long non-coding RNA (316 nucleotides) under Nicotiana benthamiana. RNAcentral's name for it is "long non-coding RNA (NBEN_LNC007733)". The record is from RNAcentral. Lineage: Eukaryota; Viridiplantae; Streptophyta; Magnoliopsida; Solanales; Solanaceae.
ACGAUUACCCUUGACGACCUCAGCAACAGUAGGAGAUGAAUGCUCAGAUACAGCUACAUCAGAGAACUGCAAUCUUCGCACAGCAAGACUUGCAGGAGCUUCAUCAAUUACCACCGGAGGAGGCACAACAUUCCCAACUUCAUCUGCAUGCUUAACAUCGAUCAAUUGGAAUUUUUUAGGAAGGAAGUUGCCAAACGUUAGUGGUUCUAGUUCUUUAGUCACACCCGGUGCUGGUGUAACAAUUUGGGCAGUGGUAACGGUCGGUUGUCGCCGGCGACGAGCCAUUAUCAGCGAGAAAGCUUCGUGCUAACUUACA